AGUGGAUGGGGAGCAACCUAGUUGUGCGUGUGUAAAGGUAGUGCCAAGAAAAGCGGUGAUCAUGAUGAAAAUCAAUUCCCGGUACCCGAAACCGACACAGGUGGGCAAGUAGAGAAUACUAAGGGGCGCGAGGUAACUCUCUCCAAGGAACUCGGCAAAAUGACCCCGUAACUUAGGGAGAAGGGGUGCCACCGAGAGGUGGUCGCAGUGAAGAGGCCCAGGCGACUGUUUAGCAAAAACAUAGGUCUCUGCAAACUCGAAAGAGGAGGUAUAGGGGCUGACGCCUGCCCAGUGCCGGAAGGUUAAAGAAGUUGGUCAGUCUUAGGAUAAAGCUAGCGACUGAAGCCCCGGUGAACGGCGGCCGUAACUAUAACGGUCCUAAGGUAGCGAAAUUCCUUGUCGGGUAAGUUCCGACCCGCACGAAAGGCGUAACGAUCUGGGCGCUGUCUCGGAGAGAGGCUCGACGAAAUAGGAUUGUCUGUGAAGAUACGGACUACCUGCAUUUGGACAGAAAGACCCUAUGAAGCUUUACUAUAGCUUGGAAUUGUGUUCGGGCUUCCUGUGCGCAGGAUAGGUGGGAGGCGAAGAAGGUAUUCUUGUGGGGAUACUGGAGCCAACGGUGAGAUACCACUCUCAGGAGGCUAGAAUUCUAACUUAAUUAAGGACAGUUUCAGGUGGGUAGUUUGACUGGGGCGGUCGCCUCCAAAAAGGUAACGGAGGCGUACAAAGGUUCCCUCAGACUGGUUGGAAAUCAGUCGCAGAGUGCAAAGGCAGAAGGGAGCUUGACUGCGAGAAGUACAGUUCGAGCAGGGUGGAAACACGGUCUUAGUGAUCCGACGGUGCUGUGUGGAAGGGCCGUCGCUCAACGGAUAAAAGUUACUCUAGGAUAACAGGCUGAUCUCCCCCAAGAGUUCACAUCGACGGGGAGGUUUGGCACCUCGAUGUCGGCCCAUCGCAACCUGGGGCGGAAGUACGUCCCAAGGGUUGGGCUGUUCGCCCAUUAAAGUUACGUGAGCUGGGUUCAGAACGUCGUGAGACAGUUCGGUCCAUAUCCGAUGUAGGCGUGAGAAUAUUGAGAGGAGCCUUCCUUAGUACGAGAGGACCGGGAAGGACGCACCGCUGGUGUACCUGUUAUGAUGCCAAUUGUAAACGCAGGGUAGCCAAGUGCGGAGAGGAUAACCGCUGAAAGCAUCUAAGUGGGAAGCCCACCUCAAGAUGAGUAUUCUGGUGUAAGGUCACGGGAAGACGACCCGUAAAUAGGCACGAGGUGGAAGUGCAGAGAUGUAUGAAGCCGAAGUGUACUAAUAGACCGUCGGCUUGACC
RNAcentral lists this ribosomal RNA (1323 nucleotides) under metagenome. RNAcentral's name for it is "bacterial LSU rRNA". It matches the Rfam family "Bacterial large subunit ribosomal RNA", at positions 1561 to 2925 of the family's 2925-position model. The record is from RNAcentral.